UCCUAAUACACACUGUCGAAAUCCCCGCGGCUCCCAAUAUGGCCUGUAUGAACUGUAAUCGGCCAACCUCGUCUCUUUCCGUAACAGCUGCAGAAAUGACCGCUCGUCAUUCGUGACCAACUCGUGUUAUUCCGGGACAAGCAAGUCUACCCAUAAUUCCCUGUAUGGCCGAGGGCGCCAUUUUGGAACACAAAUGUAAACAAACACUCAAACCUCGUGUAAUCGAUGUACACCAUGAUUGCGAUAUGCUUACCUCGUGUAUCGAUACAUUGUUCUCAGUCACCUCUAACACGGAAAUCCCGGUCGAAAUCCACAACGAGGACGUCAAGUAAACUCGAUUGACAGCCGAAGGAGGAGCAGCUUGCGGAUGCCAGAAUGUCCGGAUGAAUAAAAGAGACAGUCAUCUGUGCAGCAUCAAUGCAAUGAAAGACCAUAGAAGAGCAACAGUGAAACUGAAGUCCUGCUUGAGAUCCCUGGAUGAGUACUCCAGGUUGACAGUCUGGAAGGACCAGACAAGGGAGUCCUAAACAGAGGGUGCACCCCUUCAGAUAUCAGAGGUGAUUUGCAGACAGCGAUGACGAGGGUCCUGUUAUUUCAAUGGAGGCCGACCGAGAAGUUGUAUGCCAAAUGGUACUGGGACACACAAAGGCUGGUCUGCCUAAUGUGAGAAGACCAACCAAUGCCAAGCUGGAGUGGAAUUCUUCCAGGACAUUCAGGAAAUUCUUGUCUUGAGCCAUGUGGUAAACACUUGAAAGGAAUGAUCAGUCGGACUUAUUGUCUUCAAAUGUGGACCCAAACACCAAAUGGAAAGUUCACAAUUCUACUAACACAAUGCUGCAGAGAUAGAGUCCAACUGGUAUCCCCUCAUCCUGGUUCCUGUUCAUCCAUGACAAUAUAGAAAGAAAAGGAGGAUUGAGGGAAAGUAAGUUCUCUGAACUGGUGAACAUUAUCCGUAGGUACUGUCAAGCGAACAGUUAUCACACUCUGUUAUGAGUAUUGAAGAAUAGGAUGAAAUUGCAUACUGCAUCAGGAACCAUCAUGUGAACACUGUUCAAUGUGCGAUA
This 1064-nucleotide unclassified non-coding RNA is filed under the name Haliotis rufescens (red abalone). Its description in RNAcentral is "uncharacterized LOC125384166, transcript variant X4". Lineage: Eukaryota; Metazoa; Mollusca; Gastropoda; Lepetellida; Haliotidae. The record is from RNAcentral.